Molecule: ribosomal RNA, 393 nt
Filed under: uncultured bacterium
Lineage: Bacteria
Description: partial 16S ribosomal RNA
Rfam family: Bacterial small subunit ribosomal RNA
Source: RNAcentral
AUACGGAGGAUGCGAGCGUUAUCCGGAUUUAUUGGGUUUAAAGGGUGCGUAGGCUGUGCGUUAAGUCAGGGGUGAAAUGCCGUCGCUCAACGACGGAGCUGCCCUUGAUACUGGCGUGCUGGAGUACGGAUGCCGUUGGAGGAAUGAGUGGUGGAGCGGUGAAAUGCUUCAAUAUCACUCAGAACACCGAUUGCGAAGGCAUCUGACGAAUCCGUCACUGACGCUGAGGCACGAAAGCGUGGGGAUAGAACAGGAUUAGAUACCCUGGUAUUCCACGCCGUAAACGAUGAUGACUAACCGUCGGCGAUAGACAGCCGGUGGCCAAGCGAAAGCGAUAAGUCAUCCACCUGGGGAGUACGUCGGCAACGAUGAAACUCAAAGGAAUUGACGGGG